Molecule: long non-coding RNA, 445 nt
Organism: Penaeus monodon (black tiger shrimp)
Lineage: Eukaryota; Metazoa; Arthropoda; Malacostraca; Decapoda; Penaeidae
Exons: 2
Source: RefSeq, a predicted model, not a curated record
UUGCAAUGGAAAUACUAAUGUCAGUAUUACAAACUGUCAUACCAUUCCUGGUGGAAAUGCCUGGAUUUCACAAGGCCAGUACGUGAUGGUAGUAGGUGAAAUGCAAGAGGAAUUAGACGGCACAAAUGCCAUCCGUGCAAUCAAGAUGGCUGACCUAUCUUCCAAUAGUGUACACGCAGCCACUUGGAAGAGUGAAGUUGCUGAAAUCAAGGCCUUAAUGCGUGAAAAUGCAAGCUUGUGCUCCUGAUGGCUUCCUGAAUAUAGAAAGCUACUGAGAGCUAGAUACUGAAAUUAUUAUUAUUUUUUUUAUUUCUUCUUUUUUUAAUGUUUGUUUUAGGGCUACAUUGUUCUUGUUACAUUUUCUUACUCUCUGGUAAAUGCAUAAUACACUGAACUGUAAAAUGUAAACUUUCAGAUUUUUUACAAAUAAAAAUAAUUUGAAUGA